GACGAACGCUGGCGGCGUGCUUAACACAUGCAAGUCGAACGGAAAGGCCCUGCUUGCAGGGUACUCGAGUGGCGAACGGGUGAGUAACACGUGGGUGAUCUGCCCUGCACUUCGGGAUAAGCCUGGGAAACUGGGUCUAAUACCGGAUAGGAGCCAUUUUUAGUGUGAUGGUUGGAAAGUUUUUUCGGUGUAGGAUGAGCUCGCGGCCUAUCAGCUUGUUGGUGGGGUAAUGGCCUACCAAGGCGGCGACGGGUAGCCGGCCUGAGAGGGUGGACGGCCACAUUGGGACCGAGGUACGGCCCAGACUCCUACGGGAGGCAGCAGUGGGGAAGAUUGCACAAUGGGCGCAAGCCUGAUGCAGCGACGCCGCGUGGGGGAUGACGGCCUUCGGGUUGUAAACUCAUUUCGCUAGGGACGAAGCUUUUUGUGACGGUACCUAGAUAAGAAGCAACGGCUAACUACGUG
This 465-nucleotide ribosomal RNA is filed under the name uncultured bacterium. RNAcentral's name for it is "partial 16S ribosomal RNA". It matches the Rfam family "Bacterial small subunit ribosomal RNA", at positions 28 to 507 of the family's 1533-position model. The record is from RNAcentral.